GAGUUUGAUCCUGGCUCAGGAUGAACGCUGGCGGCGUGCCUAAUACAUGCAAGUCGAACGCUUUGUGGUUCAACUGAUUUGAAGAGCUUGCUCAGAUAUGACGAUGGACAUUGCAAAGAGUGGCGAACGGGUGAGUAACACGUGGGAAACCUACCUCUUAGCAGGGGAUAACAUUUGGAAACAGAUGCUAAUACCGUAUAACAAUGACAACCGCAUGGUUGUUAUUUAAAAGAUGGUUCUGCUAUCACUAAGAGAUGGUCCCGCGGUGCAUUAGCUAGUUGGUAAGGUAAUGGCUUACCAAGGCAAUGAUGCAUAGCCGAGUUGAGAGACUGAUCGGCCACAAUGGGACUGAGACACGGCCCAUACUCCUACGGGAGGCAGCAGUAGGGAAUCUUCCACAAUGGGCGAAAGCCUGAUGGAGCAACGCCGCGUGUGUGAUGAAGGGUUUCGGCUCGUAAAACACUGUUGUAAGAGAAGAAUGACAUUGAGAGUAACUGUUCAAUGUGUGACGGUAUCUUACCAGAAAGGAACGGCUAAAUACGUGCCAGCAGCCGCGGUAAUA
RNAcentral lists this ribosomal RNA (562 nucleotides) under uncultured bacterium. Its description in RNAcentral is "bacterial SSU rRNA". It matches the Rfam family "Bacterial small subunit ribosomal RNA", at positions 9 to 525 of the family's 1533-position model. The record is from RNAcentral.